GAGAGAGAGAGAGAGAGAGAGAGAGAGAGAGAGAGAGAGAGAGUGUGUACAAAAACUAUUACUAGAACUUCAACUUUUAACUGCAAGAUCGACAACAUACUCUCACGGUGUCUAUGGUAAGAGGGAAAUCAUGCUACUUCACUAAUUUCCAAAUCGUUUUCUACUCAGCAUCUCUCUUCUUUUAGGGUUGUUGAGGUUCCGUCAUUCUCCUUUUCUACUCAGUAUCUCUCUUCUUUUAGGGUUGUUGAGGUUCCGUCAUUCUCCUUUUCUACUCAGUAUCUCUCUUUUAGGAUUGUUGAGGUUCCGUCAUUCUCCUUUUCUACUCAGUAUCUCUCUUCUUUUAGGGUUGUUGAGGUUCCGUCAUUCUCCUUUUCUACUCAGUAUCUCUCUUCUUUUAGGGUUGUUGAGGUUCCGUCAUUCUCCUUUUCUACUCAGUAUCUCUCUUCUUUUAGGGUUGUUGAGGUUCCGUCAUUCUCCUUUUCUACUCAGUAUCUCUCUUCUUUUAGGGUUGUUGAGGUUCCGUCAUUCUCCUUUUCUACUCAGUAUCUCUCUUCUUUUAGGGUUGUUGAGGUUCCGUCAUUCUCCUUUUCUACUCAGUAUCUCUCUUCUUUUGGGGUUGUUGAGGUUCCGUCAUUCUCCUUUUCUACUCAGUAUCUCUCUUCUUUUGGGGUUGUUGAGGUUCCGUCAUUCUCCUUUUCUACUCAGUAUCUCUCUUCUUUUGGGGUUGUUGAGGUUCCGUCAUUCUCCUUUUCUACUCAGUAUCUCUCUUCUUUUAGGGUUGUUGAGGUUCCGUCAUUCUCCUUUUCUACUCAGUAUCUCUCUUCUUUUAGGGUUGUUGAGGUUCCGUCAUUCUCCUUUUCUACUCAGUAUCUCUCUUUCAGGGUUGUUGAGGUUCCGUCAUUCUCCUUUUCUACUCAGUAUCUCUCUUCUUUUGGGGUUGUUGAGGUUCCGUCAUUCUCCUUUUCUACUCAGUAUCUCUCUUCUUUUAGGGUUGUUCAGCUUCCGUCAUUCUCCAAGUAUUCCCAGACGCUUCCACCUCUCACUUUUAC
Long non-coding RNA from Eriocheir sinensis (Chinese mitten crab), 1049 nucleotides. RefSeq lists it as uncharacterized. The transcript has 7 exons. The record is from RefSeq and is a predicted model, not a curated record. NCBI's taxonomy places the organism in Eukaryota, Metazoa, Arthropoda, Malacostraca, Decapoda, Varunidae.